UCUUCGAUGGUCUAAUGGUAAAGACAAUACGUUCUCAUCGUGUGGAUUCGGGUUCAAUUACUUGAAUAAAAUGCAUGUUUCCCGAUCGGAGAU
RNAcentral lists this transfer RNA (93 nucleotides) under Cryptomonas paramaecium. RNAcentral describes it as "Cryptomonas paramecium tRNA-Glu". The record is from RNAcentral. Lineage: Eukaryota; Cryptophyceae; Cryptomonadales; Cryptomonadaceae.